CUAAAGACUUAAAAAUUAAGCGCUGAAUGGGAGGCAACCCAUUUUUUAUUAAAAAAAAAUAAAAAAUAAUUUAAAAAUCAUUAUUUAAAAUUAAUAAAUUAUAUUUACUAGUAAUUAAUAGUAAUUUCCGUAUUUCUUAAUAUUAGCAUUAUUUAAAAAAUUUAGUAAUUAGACGAGGAAUUAUUGCCAUCGAUCGAUGUGGGCAUAUCGACUGUUUUAACACUAAUUUCACUCGAUAUCAGCCCACUUCCU
This 252-nucleotide long non-coding RNA is filed under the name Brassica rapa (field mustard). RNAcentral's name for it is "long non-coding RNA (BRAP_LNC002531)". Lineage: Eukaryota; Viridiplantae; Streptophyta; Magnoliopsida; Brassicales; Brassicaceae. The record is from RNAcentral.